GUAGUUUGACUGGGGCGGUCUCCUCCUAAAGAGUAACGGAGGAGCACGAAGGUUGGCUAAUCCUGGUCGGACAUCAGGAGGUUAGUGCAAUGGCAUAAGCCAGCUUGACUGCGAGCGUGACGGCGCGAGCAGGUGCGAAAGCAGGUCAUAGUGAUCCGGUGGUUCUGAAUGGAAGGGCCAUCGCUCAACGGAUAAAAGGUACUCCGGGGAUAACAGGCUGAUACCGCCCAAGAGUUCAUAUCGACGGCGGUGUUUGGCACCUCGAUGUCGGCUCAUCACAUCCUGGGGCUGAAGUAGGUCCCAAGGGUAUGGCUGUUCGCCAUUUAAAGUGGUACGCGAGCUGGGUUUAGAACGUCGUGAGACAGUUCGGUCCCUAUCUGCCGUGGGCGCUGGAGAACUGAGGGGGGCUGCUCCUAGUACGAGAGGACCGGAGUGGACGCAUCACUGGUGUUCGGGUUGUCAUGCCAAUGGCACUGCCCGGUAGCUAAAUGCGGAAGAGAUAAGUGCUGAAAGCAUCUAAGCACGAAACUUGCCCCGAGAUGAGUUCUCCCUGAGACUUAGAGUCUCCUGAAGGAACGUUGAAGACGACGACGUUGAUAGGCCGGGUGUGUAAGCGCAGCGAUGCGUUGAGCUAACCGGUACUAAUGAACCGUGAGGCUUAACCUUACA
RNAcentral lists this ribosomal RNA (669 nucleotides) under Salmonella enterica. Its description in RNAcentral is "partial 23S ribosomal RNA". It matches the Rfam family "Bacterial large subunit ribosomal RNA", at positions 2265 to 2925 of the family's 2925-position model. Lineage: Bacteria; Pseudomonadati; Pseudomonadota; Gammaproteobacteria; Enterobacterales; Enterobacteriaceae. The record is from RNAcentral. RNAcentral also lists the same sequence under 2 other names.